UUCCGGUUGAUCCUGCCGGACCUCACUGCUAUCGGGAUGAGACUAAGCUAUGCAAGUCAUAAUGCGAGGACGCGGCGUACGGCUCAGUAAUACGUGGCUAACUUACCCUUGGGACAGGGACAACCCCGGGAAACUGGGGCUAAUCCAUGAUAGGUGAAUAUGCCUGGAAUGGUUUUUCGCUCAAAGGGCUCGAUCCCCAAGGAUAGGGUCACGUCCGAUCAGGUUGUUGGUGGGGUAAUGGCCCACCAAGCCGAUAACCGGUACGGGCCCUGAGAGGGGGAGCCCGGAGAUGGGAACUGAGACAAGGUCCCAGGCCCUACGGGGCGCAGCAAGCGCGAAACCUCCGCAAUACGCGAAAGCGUGACGGGGUUAUCCCGAGUGCCGUCCGCUGAGGGCGGCUUUUCCUCGGUGUAACUAGCCGAGAGAAUAAGGGGAGGGCAAGUUCUGGUGUCAGCCGCCGCGGUAAUACCAGCUCCCCGAGUGGUGAGGAUGAUUAUUGGGCCUAAAGCGUCCGUAGCCGGUUUGGUAAGUCUCCCGUCAAAUCUGCCGAUUCAAUCGGCAGGCCGCGGGAAAUACUGCUAGACUAGGAGGCGGGAGAGGCCGGCGGUAGUCCCGGGGUAGGGGUAAAAUCCUGUAAUCCCGGGAGGACCACCAGUGGCGAAGGCGGCCGGCCAGAACGCGCUCGACGGUGAGGGACGAAAGCUGGGGGAGCGAACCGGAUUAGAUACCCGGGUAGUCCCAGCCGUAAACGAUGCGGGCUAGGUGUUGGGACGGCUACGUGCCGUUUCAGUGCCGCAGGGAAGCUGUUAAGCCCGCCGCCUGGGGAGUACGGCCGCAAGGCUGAAACUUAAAGGAAUUGGCGGGGGAGCACCACAAGGGGUGAAGCCUGCGGUUCAAUUGGAUUCAACGCCGGA
Molecule: ribosomal RNA, 914 nt
Filed under: uncultured archaeon
Lineage: Archaea
Description: bacterial SSU rRNA
Rfam family: Archaeal small subunit ribosomal RNA
Source: RNAcentral